RNAcentral lists this ribosomal RNA (395 nucleotides) under uncultured bacterium. RNAcentral describes it as "partial 16S ribosomal RNA". It matches the Rfam family "Bacterial small subunit ribosomal RNA", at positions 523 to 917 of the family's 1533-position model. The record is from RNAcentral.
AUACGUAGGGGGCGAGCGUUGUCCGGAAUGAUUGGGCGUAAAGGGCGCGUAGGCGGCGCGGUAAGUCUGGAGUGAAAGUCCUGCUUUCAAGGUGGGAAUUGCUUUGGAUACUGCCGCGCUUGAGUGCAGGAGAGGUUAUCGGAAUUCCCGGUGUAGCGGUGAAAUGCGUAGAGAUCGGGAGGAACACCAGUGGCGAAGGCGGGUAACUGGACAGCAACGGACGCUGAGGCGCGAAAGUGUGGGGAGAAAACAGGAUUAGAUACCCUGGUAGUCCACGCUGUAAACGAUGAAUACUAGGUGUGGGGGGACUGACCCCCUCCGUGCCGCAGUUAACACAAUAAGUAUUCCACCUGGGGAGUACGAUCGCAAGAUUGAAACUCAAAUGAAUUGACGGG